AGAAAGGGUAAAAGGCAAAGACGUAUUAGAUGUAAAAUGGGUUUACACGAGAAAAUCAGAUGACAGGUAUAAGGCUAGAUUAGUGGUAAGAGGAUUUCAACAAAGAAACGUAGCCGAUGACAUAUACUCCCCACGAGUAAUCAGACCUUUAAGAUAUUGCUAUCAUAUUGUUGUCAAAAUGGAUUAAUUAUUGAGCAAAUGGAUGUAGAAACUGCCUUUUUAAAUGGUGAAGUAACCUCGGAGGUAUAUGUAAAUCAUCCAAAGGGAUAUGCGAACGGAACGAAUAGAG
This 289-nucleotide unclassified non-coding RNA is filed under the name Bombus terrestris (buff-tailed bumblebee). Its description in RNAcentral is "misc RNA ENSBTSG00005036462.1". Lineage: Eukaryota; Metazoa; Arthropoda; Insecta; Hymenoptera; Apidae. The record is from RNAcentral.